This is a long non-coding RNA of Amphiprion ocellaris (clown anemonefish), 1890 nucleotides long. RefSeq lists it as uncharacterized. Lineage: Eukaryota; Metazoa; Chordata; Actinopteri; Pomacentridae. The record is from RefSeq and is a predicted model, not a curated record. The transcript is spliced from 14 exons.
CCGGUAGGAUUUAGGGGCAUCUAGCGGUAAGAUUGCAGACUACGUCCAAACGAACACCCCUCGCCCUCCCCUACAAACGUGUAGGCGAAGCUGCUGAAAAAACGCCAAAGACUGUCUCCAGAGCCACGACAGCAUAGAAGCGGACCAACUCCACCUGUAGAUGUAAAGGACUCAUUCUAAGCCUCCACCCGGCCUGCGGCAGAGUCGAGGCGGCUGAUGAAGUGAUGUUUAUGUCUGCGGUGGUGAAGGUCAGCUCUCCCUGGUGUGUGUUGUCAUUCAGUCGGUCUACCGCAGAACAAAAUGUUUCAGGGACAUAAAAGUGGAGCUGUGUGAGCAGAAGGUUCCUCUCCAAAGAGCCCCAGGCAGACCUACCUCACCUAGAACCAAACCACGAUGAGCCCAGGGCCAGAUCCAGAGAGGGAGCAAGAGGACCGACGACCCUCUGCUUGAGAAUGUGAGGCGUAGAACCAUAUGGAGAGUGCAGACAAGUGGAAGCACAAUCGAGUACGGAAAGAAGUCCACAUGGAGAUAAAAUAAGCGUUGGCAUUCAGUCUGUGAUCUUCUUUGGGGAAACUUUCUCCUGAAACGACAUCGGCAGCGGCAACAACAGUUCGUUUGGGACAAAUAAAGCCUUAAAUGAGAGCCAGAUGAUCCGUUAACGGUACAAAGACCCAACAUCAUCAGCUGCUCGCCAUCAUCAGGACCCAGCGGGACCCUGGAGACGUCACAACAGCCAAUCGCUGUGAUCCUCACCUGGACGCAUGGGGGACGUGGCAGGCAUCUGUUUCCCGGUGUUGUUGUCCUGUGUUUUGCCGUGACACAGUUUGGAGACCGUCCUCCAAAGCUCGGUGAACUCUUCAUGUGUGUUCGGCUCUGACAUCAGUCAUCAAACCAGCACAAGCAGCUUCCGGACUGUUUGACCCAGAAAAAGCAGCUCUAGACAUUUUAACAGGAAGUUUUUGGCACGACAACAGGUGUGCUGAGGCCCGGAGGAGGCGGAGGAGGGGGUUCCUCCAGUCGUCCACCCUGCAGAGCCGCUCUCUCCUGGGGUAAGGAUGACAGGAAGUCAGCCAGAUGGCACCGAACAGGUCUGCAGCAUGUGACCUCCUCUCUGGAGAGGCAGGAAGGACGAGGAGGAGGAGGAGGGAGGCUGAGAUGAAGGAAAGGAGAGAUGGCAGACAUGCUGCAGCUGAUUGAAUCACGCUGGAGUGAAACCAAGUCUUCUGUGAUACCAGAUCAGAGGAGCUCCAGCGAGGGAAACGUCCUGCAAAUUACUGCGGAAAGUGAAGUUAAACAGACUGAAAAAAAGGAGCUCAUUCAACAUGAUGGAUAAUGCCUCUCGCAGCACCUCGCGAAAACAAUUUGGCCGCUGUACUUGGGGGGAAACCUAAGAGGCGAGCCGCGCCGCACACAUCAUUUUUCAGCUUCCAGCGCUCAUAAGAGCUGGGGUUGUAAAGUGACUUCUGGGAAAGGGACGCCUUGAGUCACCUCAUGGUAAAGCCUACAGACUGUCAGAAUCAGGCCUCGGAGGUCAGGGGUUACAAGUUGAAGGGGUCAGGCAAGUCAUGACUGGAUGAGGUCAAUGUGAGGUUACUUCCGUUUGGGGAUUCCAGACUAUUCCUGUCCAUCAUAGAAGCCAAUCCAGAAGACCUCUUCCACCCGGAGCCUCAGCCUGAGUCCCUCCUGUCAGAGUGAUGUACAGCAGAAGGCAAUAGAUGCUGAGAGUGCAAGAGAUUGAAGGCAGUCUGUUGGGAAAAAUGUGCACACACACACACACACACACACACACACACACACACACACACACACACACACACACACACACACACACACACACACACACACACACACACACACACACACACACACACACACACACGUAUACACACA